GAUGAACGCUGGCGGCGUGCCUAAUACAUGCAAGUCGAGCGAACAGAUGAGGAGCUUGCUCCUCUGACGUUAGCGGCGGACGGGUGAGUAACACGUGGAUAACCUACCUAUAAGACUGGGAUAACUUCGGGAAACCGGAGCUAAUACCGGAUAAUAUAUUGAACCGCAUGGUUCAAUAGUGAAAGACGGUUUUGCUGUCACUUAUAGAUGGAUCCGCGCCGCAUUAGCUAGUUGGUAAGGUAACGGCUUACCAAGGCAACGAUGCGUAGCCGACCUGAGAGGGUGAUCGGCCACACUGGAACUGAGACACGGUCCAGACUCCUACGGGAGGCAGCAGUAGGGAAUCUUCCGCAAUGGGCGAAAGCCUGACGGAGCAACGCCGCGUGAGUGAUGAAGGUCUUCGGAUCGUAAAACUCUGUUAUUAGGGAAGAACAAAUGUGUAAGUAACUAUGCACGUCUUGACGGUACCUAAUCAGAAAGCCCCGGCUAACUACGUG
Molecule: ribosomal RNA, 497 nt
Filed under: uncultured bacterium
Lineage: Bacteria
Description: partial 16S ribosomal RNA
Rfam family: Bacterial small subunit ribosomal RNA
Source: RNAcentral